UUUAUGCCAAUCCCUAAAUUCUUGAAAACAUGAGUUUACAAUGAAAACACUAACAGAUGCUCAGUGGUAGAAAGCAGAGGAGUGGUUGCCAUGGAAUCAGAUGGCAGGGAAGGUAGCUCACUUUUUAAACUCACUGGCAGCGAACACGUAGCACCAACAAGUGGACAGCAAUGCUGGCAGACAUUUAUCUCUGCACAGCACUUGGAAGGGCUGCGUGGAGGCUACUGCUGUGACCCAGCACUGGAAACUGGGAUAACCAGGGAAAAGCUGAGCAUCAGCAGCUCUACAGACAUUGACAACAGAAAGACCUAAAAAAUGCAAGGAAAUGCAGAAUAAGUUGAAGCGAGGAAACAAAAAGGGCAGAGUCACACGGUUGAUCUUUGUUAAUUCCGGGAUCUACUCUAGAGCUAUGUACUUUUUUUCAUAGGUUGGU
This 433-nucleotide long non-coding RNA is filed under the name Cyanistes caeruleus (blue tit). RNAcentral's name for it is "lncRNA (ENSCCEG00000003215.1)". The record is from RNAcentral. Lineage: Eukaryota; Metazoa; Chordata; Aves; Passeriformes; Paridae.